Molecule: long non-coding RNA, 1295 nt
Organism: Vicia villosa (hairy vetch)
Lineage: Eukaryota; Viridiplantae; Streptophyta; Magnoliopsida; Fabales; Fabaceae
Exons: 3
Source: RefSeq, a predicted model, not a curated record
UCUCUUCUCUUCCCCUCUCGUUGCGCCGCGACGGAGUCUCCCUCCCUUCUCACCGAUCGACUCUCCGUCUCAGUCUCUCUCCGAUGAAAGGCUCGGAUGAAGAACUCUACUUCUCCGAUGAACUCAGACCGCUCUCCGCCUCACACUCUUGGCCUGAAACCUCUCAUCUCUAUCAGAAUUCGUCCGGAGCGUCUUCAGUUUGUUGGAGCUUUGGAUUAAGCGCACGAUUUGCAAGUUGAAGGCGCGUUGCGGGAUUGCUUAUCGCAGAUGGAGAAUUGAUGAUUGGAGAUAUGAAUUCAAGUUUUCAAUGGAGUCACUUGGUAGAUUAAACACACAGCAUGGGAUCUGAACCUGGAUGAAUCAACCGUUGCCAAAAUGAGACUGACUAGCCGUGUGGAAUGAUGAGAAAACUUAGAGUUUGGAGGGAAAUAGCUCAGCUCACUAGAGUUUAUUUUGGUAGGGGCAAGUUGGCAUAGCAUGGAGGAGGUAUUGGACUGUUAGUUAAAGGUUUGUAAUUUUCUGUUUUGGUUGUUAUAGGAGAAUUGGUUAAGGGCUGAACCGGUUAGCAAUGUAGUGAUAGGAUUUUGGAUCUAUAUGAAUGCUGUAGGUUUUUAUGAAAUGGAUUUGAACUUUCAUUUUGAUUGUGCUCAUGUAUGUGUGAAAGCAGGGCUUUAGUUUGGUAUUAGUUGUUGUAUGGUUGUAUAUGUGACUGGUUUCUGUUAGGAGUUAGAUACAAAAACAGUUGGAUGUUAUUUGGUAGUUGGGAUGCGGUUAUUCUCUUGAAUUGCUGUAUGUGGUUGUUUAUGUAAAGCUGAGUUUUGUAGGGGUUAAAACGUUGGGGAAGUUUGAGUAUGAGCUGGGAGUUAAUUGACUUUUCUGUUGUGAGCUGAGCUAUUCCUCUGAUGCACUGCCUUUUUCUUUUGUAGAAACUAAUGCCAAGUUUUUCUGAACUGAAAUUGAAUACAAAUGUAUGGUAUGUGCAGGUUUGAUCAUGGUUCAUUAACUGAUACAAUGCCUGUUUUGAUAAGUUGCUGCUGAUCUUUUUGGUUACUUUUUGUUAUGGUUGUGUGCAGGAUUUCACUGUAUGAGGGGCAGAAGUGGAUUCGACUUGACAUAUUUCCGUGGACAGAAUUGGAACAGCAAUCUGAGUUGAAUUUUCAAUGAUGAUGAAUGGCAUAUUUUAUUGUAACUUUUGUAAACAAUUGGAUUUGAAUGAAUGAAUCUUGUGUGGCUCCAUGUUCAUUUCAAUGUGCUUACUUGAGACAUCCUUAGAGAUUUUUGUAAAAUUGAAUCAA